CUAAAAAUUAAGCCUACACUCUUUUUAUAAAAACUACACCUAACUAAACCACAAUAAAACAUUUUACCAGUUUAGUAGAGGCGAUUAAAAAACUUUCUAGCGCUUUACUUCUAGUACCGCAAGGGAAUAAUGAAAUAGUUUUGAAACAGCCUUUAAGCAAAAAACAGCAGAGAUUAAUACUCGUACCUUUUGCAUCAUGGUUUAGCUAGUCUUAUUCAAGCAAAGCGAAACAUCAGUUUGACCCCCCGAAACUAAGCGAGCUACUUUAAAACAGCUUAAUAGAGCCAACCCGUCUCUGUCGCAAAAGAGUGGGAUGAUUUUUAAGUAGAGGUGAAAAGCCUACCGAGCUUAGAGAUAGCUGGUUAUUCAGGAAAAGAAUUUUAGUUCAACCUUAAGUUUAUUUAUUAACUAAAAAAAAUCUUAAACUUAAGAGCUAUUCAAAUAAGGCACAGCUUAUUUGAAGAAGGAUACAACCUAUUAAAAUGGGUAAAAAAUUUUACACGUGCUAAGUGGGCCUAAAAGCAGCCACCUUUUAGAAAGCGUUAAAGCUCCUCUUUUUUCCUCACCCUAAUACCUAAAUACACCUUUAACCCUUUAUUACUACUGAAUGGUUCUAUAUUAAUAUAGAAACCACAAUGCUAAAACUAGUAACAAGAAAUUGAUUUUCUCCAAAAUAUAAGCAUAAGCCAAAAUGGACAGACCAUUGGCUAUUAACGUUAAUAAAAUAAUAUAGUAACUCCUCUAGAAAACACUAUUAACCCACACGUUAAUCUUACACAAGUAUAUUCCCGGAAAGAUUAAAAGAAAGAGAAGGAACUCGGCAAACCAUAACCCCGCCUGUUUACCAAAAACAUCGCCUCUUGAAAAAUUAUAAGAGGUCCAGCCUGCCCAGUGAAAUUAUUUAACGGCCGCGGUACCCUGACCGUGCGAAGGUAGCAUAAUCACUUGUUCUCUAAAUAGGGACUAGUAUCAACGGCAUCACGAGGGUUAUACUGUCUCCUCUUUUUAAUCAGUGAAACUGAUCUCCCCAUGAAGAAGCGGGGAUGAUUAUACAAGACGAGAAGACCCCAUGGAGCUUUAAACCCAAUAACAGCCUAUACUAAAUUUUUCUAAAAAUGUAAAAAGCAAUGUUUAUUGGUUUUAGGUUGGGGUGACCACGGAGAAAAAUUAAACCUCCACGAUGAAAGGAUCUUAAUCCUAAUCUACGAGCUACUACUCCAAGAAUCAACAAUUUGACAUAAUAUGAUCCGAUAACGAUCAACGAACCAAGUUACCCUGGGGAUAACAGCGCAAUCCAUUUCAAGAGCCCUUAUCGACAAAUGGGUUUACGACCUCGAUGUUGGAUCAGGGUAUCCUAGUGGUGCAGCCGCUACUAAAGGUUUGUUUGUUCAACAAUUAAAAC
This 1402-nucleotide ribosomal RNA is filed under the name Limnonectes megastomias. RNAcentral describes it as "partial 16S rRNA". It matches the Rfam family "Bacterial large subunit ribosomal RNA", at positions 135 to 2594 of the family's 2925-position model. Lineage: Eukaryota; Metazoa; Chordata; Amphibia; Anura; Dicroglossidae. The record is from RNAcentral.